Molecule: ribosomal RNA, 898 nt
Filed under: uncultured bacterium
Lineage: Bacteria
Description: bacterial SSU rRNA
Rfam family: Bacterial small subunit ribosomal RNA
Source: RNAcentral
GUUUGAUCCUGGCUCAGGAUGAACGCUAGCGGCAGGCUUAACACAUGCAAGUCGAGGGGUAUAGUUCUUCGGAAUUAGAGACCGGCGCACGGGUGCGUAACGCGUAUGCAAUCUACCUUUCACAGAGGGAUAGCCCAGAGAAAUUUGGAUUAAUACCUCAUAGUAUGCAGAGUUGGCAUCAACCCUGCAUUAAAGUCACAACGGUGAAAGAUGAGCAUGCGUCCCAUUAGCUAGUUGGUAAGGUAACGGCUUACCAAGGCUACGAUGGGUAGGGGUCCUGAGAGGGAGAUCCCCCACACUGGUACUGAGACACGGACCAGACUCCUACGGGAGGCAGCAGUGAGGAAUAUUGGACAAUGGGCGCAAGCCUGAUCCAGCCAUGCCGCGUGCAGGAUGACGGUCCUAUGGAUUGUAAACUGCUUUUGCACAGGAAGAAACGACAUUACGUGUAAUGUCUUGACGGUACUGUGAGAAUAAGGAUCGGCUAACUCCGUGCCAGCAGCCGCGGUAAUACGGAGGAUCCAAGCGUUAUCCGGAAUCAUUGGGUUUAAAGGGUCCGUAGGCGGUUUGGUAAGUCAGUGGUGAAAGCCCAUCGCUCAACGGUGGAACGGCCAUUGAUACUGCCAGACUUGAAUUAUUAGGAAGUAACUAGAAUAUGUAGUGUAGCGGUGAAAUGCUUAGAGAUUACAUGGAAUACCAAUUGCGAAGGCAGGUUACUACUAAUGGAUUGACGCUGAUGGACGAAAGCGUGGGUAGCGAACAGGAUUAGAUACCCUGGUAGUCCACGCCGUAAACGAUGGAUACUAGCUGUUGGGAGCGAUCUCAGUGGCUAAGCGAAAGUGAUAAGUAUCCCACCUGGGGAGUACGUUCGCAAGAAUGAAACUCAAAGGAAUUGACG